RNAcentral lists this non-coding RNA (23 nucleotides) under Cricetulus griseus (Chinese hamster). The record is from RNAcentral. Lineage: Eukaryota; Metazoa; Chordata; Mammalia; Rodentia; Cricetidae.
AGCUGGGGGAUUAGCUCAAAUGG